RNAcentral lists this long non-coding RNA (617 nucleotides) under Olea europaea subsp. europaea. Lineage: Eukaryota; Viridiplantae; Streptophyta; Magnoliopsida; Lamiales; Oleaceae. The record is from RNAcentral.
CUUCGCAUUUAAUCUCCUCGUCCCACUCCCUAACUUCGAAUUCACAAUAUAUAUCCCACAUUUUUGUUCAAUCCUGAUGAAGCCCGUCAAUUUCAAAACUCAGACACUGAGAAACAUAUCAAUUAGGCAGACUAGAUAAUCUUGCAGUCAAGCUCCCUUCUGUACUAUUUUAACAUGGCAGUGGAGCAACAUCUCCUGUCGACAGAGAUUGUUAAUCGGGGCAUUGAAUCUUCGGGCCCUGAUGCUGGAUCAUUAACAUAUUUCGUCAGGGUUUGUCGUCGCCUACCGGACUUUGUGCAAUCGGUUAACCUCAAGUAUGUGAUAAAUCAUGGGAUUUAUUUGGCCACCAUACUGCUGCUGGUGCUCAUUUUCAACGCAGAGGUGGGCAGCCUCAGCAUGGCGGAGUUGUGGCGGAUUAUCUCAAACACUGCUCGCUAUGAUCUUGCCACCGUGAUGGCAUUUCUUGGCAUCUUUGUGUUUAUGUAGGAUAAUUUAUUACUUUAAAUCACUGUUAUCUUUAUAUUGGAUCAUCAAGAAAUACAUAACUUAUAGCGGAAGCGUACCUGAAUCAAAUAUGAUUAAUGCAAUAAUGAAUUUCGCGAUUUUUGUCUUACAAA